UCCUUCCGUAGCCGAACCUGCGGAAGGAUCUUUACCGUACCGCGGGCCCUCUGGGUCCAGCCUCCCAUCCGUGUCUAGCUGUGCGCUGUUGCUUCGGCGUGGCCACGGCCCGCCGGAGACUAACAUUUGAACGCUGUCUGAAGUAUUGCAGUCUGAGUUUUUAGUUAAACAAUCAGUUAAAACUUUCAACAACGGAUCUCUUGGUUCCGGCAUCGAUGAAGAACGCAGCGAAAUGCGAUAAUUAAUGUGAAUUGCAGAAUUCAGUGAAUCAUCGAGUCUUUGAACGCACAUUGCGCCCCCUGGUAUUCCGGGGGGCAUGCCUGUCCGAGCGUCAUUGCUGCCCUCAAGCACGGCUUGUGUGUUGGGCUUCCGUCCCUGGCAACGGGGACGGGCCCAAAAGGCAGUGGCGGCACCAUGUCUGGUCCUCGAGCGUAUGGGGCUUUGUCACCCGCUCCCGUAGGUCCAGCUGGCAGCUAGCCUCGCAACCAAUCUUUUUAACCAGGUUGACCUCGGAUCAGGUAGGGAUACCCGCUGAACUUAAGCAUAUCAAUAAGCGGAGGAAAAGAAACCAACCGGGA
RNAcentral lists this ribosomal RNA (578 nucleotides) under Aspergillus sp. BAB-55. RNAcentral's name for it is "eukaryotic LSU rRNA". The stretch from base 181 to 334 matches the Rfam family "5.8S ribosomal RNA". Lineage: Eukaryota; Fungi; Ascomycota; Eurotiomycetes; Eurotiales; Aspergillaceae. The record is from RNAcentral.